RNAcentral lists this non-coding RNA (130 nucleotides) under Streptomyces agglomeratus. RNAcentral describes it as "Streptomyces RNA 5676". It matches the Rfam family "Streptomyces RNA 5676". From Rfam's summary of the family: Identified by deep sequencing of transcriptome at the end of exponential growth phase. Appears longer on northern blot than sequencing transcript. Lineage: Bacteria; Bacillati; Actinomycetota; Actinomycetes; Kitasatosporales; Streptomycetaceae. The record is from Rfam by way of RNAcentral.
AGAUGAGAGAAACACCCCGCUCGCAGGGGACUGCGGGUGGUUCCAGGUCGAGGCACCCCCUGCCCCGCCCUGGCCGUGCCUUCGCGCACAUGACUGGAGCCUUCGGCUCCGGAACUCCUCACCGAUCGGA